This 71-nucleotide transfer RNA is filed under the name Clostridia bacterium. Its description in RNAcentral is "tRNA-Gln". It matches the Rfam family "tRNA". From Rfam's summary of the family: Transfer RNA (tRNA) molecules are approximately 80 nucleotides in length. Their secondary structure includes four short double-helical elements and three loops (D, anti-codon, and T loops). Further hydrogen bonds mediate the characteristic L-shaped molecular structure. tRNAs have two regions of fundamental functional importance: the anti-codon, which is responsible for specific mRNA codon recognition, and the 3' end, to which the tRNAs corresponding amino acid is attached (by aminoacyl-tRNA synthetases). tRNAs cope with the degeneracy of the genetic code in two manners: having more than one tRNA (with a specific anti-codon) for a particular amino acid; and 'wobble' base-pairing, i.e. permitting non-standard base-pairing at the 3rd anti-codon position. Lineage: Bacteria; Bacillati; Bacillota; Clostridia. The record is from RNAcentral.
UGGGGUAUCGCCAAGAGGAAAGGCAGCAGACUUUGACUCUGCCAGCGUAGGUUCGAUUCCUGCUACCCCAA